AGCGAACGCUGGCGGCAGGCCUAACACAUGCAAGUCGAACGAACCUUUCGGGGUUAGUGGCGGACGGGUGAGUAACACGUGGGAACGUGCCUUUAGGUUCGGAAUAACUCAGGGAAACUUGUGCUAAUACCGAAUGUGCCCUUAGGGGGAAAGAUUAAUCGCCUUUAGAGCGGCCCGCGUCUGAUUAGCUAGUUGGUUGAGGUAAUGGCUCACCAAGGCGACGAUCAGUAGCUGGUCUGAGAGGAUGAUCAGCCACAUUGGGACUGAGACACGGCCCAAACUCCUACGGGAGGCAGCAGUGGGGAAUCUUGCGCAAUCGGCGAAAGCCUGACGCAGCCAUGCCGCGUGAAUGAUGAAGGUCUUAGGAUUGUAAAAUUCUUUCACCGGGGACGAUAAUGACGAUACCCGGAGAAGAAGCCCCGGCUAACUUCGUG
Molecule: ribosomal RNA, 434 nt
Filed under: uncultured bacterium
Lineage: Bacteria
Description: partial 16S ribosomal RNA
Rfam family: Bacterial small subunit ribosomal RNA
Source: RNAcentral